AACAUGGAGAGUUUGAUCCUGGCUCAGGAUGAACGCUGGCGGCGUGCUUAACACAUGCAAGUCGAACGGACCCUUCGGGGUUAGUGGCGGACGGGUGAGUAACGCGUGAGGAUCUGCCCUUAGGAGGGGAACAACAGUUGGAAACGACUGCUAAUGCCCCAUAUGCCGAGAGGUGAAAAGUUAUAUCGCCUGAGGAUGAACUCGCGUCUGAUUAGCUAGUUGGUGAGGUAAGGGCUCACCAAGGCGACGAUCAGUAGCUGGUCUAAGAGGAUGAUCAGCCACACUGGGACUGAGACACGGCCCAGACUCCUACGG
Molecule: ribosomal RNA, 315 nt
Filed under: filamentous cyanobacterium CCP5
Lineage: Bacteria; Bacillati; Cyanobacteriota
Description: Bacterial small subunit ribosomal RNA
Rfam family: Bacterial small subunit ribosomal RNA
Source: Rfam by way of RNAcentral